This 468-nucleotide ribosomal RNA is filed under the name uncultured bacterium. RNAcentral describes it as "partial 16S ribosomal RNA". It matches the Rfam family "Bacterial small subunit ribosomal RNA", at positions 28 to 507 of the family's 1533-position model. The record is from RNAcentral.
GACGAACGCUGGCGGCGUGCUUAACACAUGCAAGUCGAACGGAAAGGCCCUGCUUUUGUGGGGUGCUCGAGUGGCGAACGGGUGAGUAACACGUGAGUAACCUGCCCUUGACUUUGGGAUAACUUCAGGAAACUGGGGCUAAUACCGGAUAGGAGCUCCUGCUGCGUGGUGGGGGUUGGAAAGUUUCGGCUGUGGGGGAUGGACUCGCGGCUUAUCAGCUUGUUGGUGGGGUAGUGGCUUACCAAGGCUUUGACGGGUAGCCGGCCUGAGAGGGGGACCGGCCACAUUGGGACUGAGAUACGGCCCAGACUCCUACGGGAGGCAGCAGUGGGGAAUAUUGCACAAUGGGCGGAAGCCUGAUGCAGCAACGCCGCGUGCGGGAUGACGGCCUUCGGGUUGUAAACCGCUUUCGCCUGUGACGACGCGUGAGUGACGGUAAUGGGUAAAGAAGCACCGGCUAACUACGUG